Molecule: unclassified non-coding RNA, 184 nt
Filed under: Glomus sp.
Lineage: Eukaryota; Fungi; Glomeromycota; Glomeromycetes; Glomerales; Glomeraceae
Description: partial contains 5.8S ribosomal RNA and internal transcribed spacer 2
Rfam family: 5.8S ribosomal RNA (bases 1-71)
Source: RNAcentral
GUGAAUCAUCGAAUUUUUGAACGCAAAUUGCACUUUCUGGUAUUCCGGAAAGUAUGCCUGUUUGAGGGUCAGUUAAAUAAAAAUCGGUGUUGUUGCGGCGGUUCGUGGUGACGCGUCGGAAUGGAGGUGUCUUACCUUCGGAUAAGUGACGGAAAAUUUUGCAUGAUUGUGGAAAGUAGUUAAA